RNAcentral lists this long non-coding RNA (388 nucleotides) under Elaeis guineensis (African oil palm). RNAcentral describes it as "long non-coding RNA (EGUI_LNC006620)". The record is from RNAcentral. Lineage: Eukaryota; Viridiplantae; Streptophyta; Magnoliopsida; Arecales; Arecaceae.
CUCAAGUUAAUUGAGAAUGCCUAGCUCUUCGAAAGAAGAUUUGGGAUCCAAAUGAAAAGGCGUUUUGAAUUCACCUCCCUUGUUUGGAAGGACAUCAGCGAAGAUCUCGAGGCCUUUUGGAAUUGUACUUCAUUUCGACUGGGGCAGCGUUGUGAACAUUAGAUUUUGGGAGGGCACUUGGUUUCGCUCUACCCCUCUUGCCCUACUCUUCUGUGACUUGUAUCCCGUGGUCGUCAAACAGUAUUUCGGUUGCUUCACAAUAGAGGUGGAGGUCUUUUCGGUGGAAUGUGGACAUUUGUGGCCCAUCGUCGCUUCCCCAAACCCUGCGUUUGCGGAAUCUGAUGGAUUCACUCGCUCCUCUCAGGCCAACUCGGAUUGCAGAAAAGCC